This is a long non-coding RNA of Drosophila pseudoobscura, 1702 nucleotides long. RefSeq lists it as uncharacterized. NCBI's taxonomy places the organism in Eukaryota, Metazoa, Arthropoda, Insecta, Diptera, Drosophilidae. The transcript is spliced from 2 exons. The record is from RefSeq and is a predicted model, not a curated record.
UACUUCAGAUUAGAUUAGUAAUGUUCGGCGGGUUGCGUGUGGGUCUCGAACUUAUUUACGUGGACAGAGUGUUAUCUGUUAAUUUGAAAGCCGCCGCAACUAAAACAACAAAAAUUACCGCACUUAAUCGAUGGUGCGGGAUGGAUGGGCUGGUUGGAUAAAGAAAGCUUUUAGCAGCUGUUUCAGUUUCAGCCAAGAAACCACUUUGGAAUUAGUGUGUGUGUUUUUUCUACGAAGCUUUGUUUUAAUGAACCUGACCUGAGCCCCUGCUCCACUGGGGCUCCACCGUCAGAGAAUCUGGUUUUCGUCGAAAAAAAAAAUAUACAAAUCGUCAAUAAAAAGCAAUUUGAAUUUAAUCAGAAAACGGCACGAUGAGGAGGAUAUGAACAAAAAAAAAACUACCGGCACACGUUUCCCCAUUCCUUUUUUCAGCAAGACACAUAUUUUUGGGGGCAUGGCGAGGUUCGCGAAGAGAUCCUGUUGACAUUUUAUAUGGAGCAGGGGCUCAAAGGGAGCCACAAUAUAAUGUGUAGUAUCUCCAGCUUUGUGAGAAACCAAUUUGGGUCUACCACUAAUAGUGGGUCAAUUAACGAGCGAGGCGAGCCGAGCCAAGCCAAGCCAAGCGGCGGAAUACCAGAAUUAAGAAAAGUCCCCCUGAAUGCUUCUUCUUCGCUGUCCGUCCCCCCCCCCCCGACAAACAUCUUGUGUGUUGCUAACCUAACUGGUCUGAGAGCUGAGUUUAUCGGUUGGCUUUUUAAACAAUUUAAAUAAAGUCAAGCUGUUUUUGUUUUUCCCAAAAGCAAAACUUAAAUAAAUUUCAAAUAAAAAACUUUUUAUAUGUGUUUCGUAACGACAAAACACACACACAGGCGGCCACAAAGCCGCAAAGUACGAUAUCUUCUGCUGCUGUGUGGCGACUGUGGCUGUGGCUGUGGCUGUGUCUGUGGCUGUGGCUGUUGACGCGCACACAAAUACAUAUGCAUGCUAAUCAACAACACCCAAAAAGCUAAAAAGCCCCGAGAGCCAAUGGAAAACCCGAUACUAAACAUGGUCCGGGUGAGGCGGAUGGAGAGGCGGCGCGGCAACUAGAAGGCUUCGAAAGACAAGACCAGGCCGGGCCGGGCCGGGCCAGGCCAGGCCAGGCCAGGCCACUCCAAGACAGAGAUUCGAUUCGAUUCGAGAGUGAGCGGCGGUGGUGCUGCCCGAAGCGUUCGCGUUCGAAAAACUUGUCUUCCCAGAUUCAGUUUGGAUUUCUUCUUAUUGGAUCAGAGGCCAGAGACGAAACGAUACGAAACGAUACGAGACGACAACACCAAAAACAAAAGCCACAAAACAGCAACAGUGUUGGCAAUUUGGAACUGGACUAAAAACGGACUUGAAAGAAACCACACCAACCCAACGAACCAACCAACCAACAACAGCAACAAGCAACAACCGACUGGUAUUUCCCUCUCUGGGGCUUGUUAUGAAUUUGUUGCUGUUGGCCGUGUCUUUCAUUAUAAAAAAUGAAUAUACAUUUUGUAUAUGCCUGCGUCUCGUCUCGCAUAUAGGCACGAGUAUAUGGAGGCUAUAUCUUUUCGAAAAUGACUGAAGGUCAGACAAAACCAGCAGUGUACAAUCAACUUUUUAAUAUUUCAUUUAAAAAUCUAUAUAUUAAAUGACUCUUCCAUGGGAUGCAACCCAGAGUUGGAGUUUGCUUUAA